UUUUCAAAACUACUUGGAGGAGCUUGCUAUUUAAAUCGAUAACCCACGAAAAACCUCACCAACCCUUGCUAAAAGCAGCCUGUAUACCAUCGUCGUCAGUCUACCUCGCAAGAGAAGUAAACCAAACGAGUAAGAGCCAUUCUUACUCCCCACGUCAGAUCAAGGUGCAGCUAAUGGGUAUGGAAUAAGUGAGCUACAAUAACUAAAAUAAAAAAAAGAUAUGAAAUCUUAAUUAUGAAACAAAAAGAAGAAAAAGGAUUCAACAGUAAUACUAAAGAAGAGAAUGAGUAUGAAACCACAGCUCUGAAAAGCGC
Molecule: ribosomal RNA, 314 nt
Filed under: Echinaster luzonicus
Lineage: Eukaryota; Metazoa; Echinodermata; Asteroidea; Spinulosida; Echinasteridae
Description: partial 12S ribosomal RNA
Source: RNAcentral